This is a long non-coding RNA of Caretta caretta (loggerhead turtle), 2125 nucleotides long. RefSeq lists it as uncharacterized. NCBI's taxonomy places the organism in Eukaryota, Metazoa, Chordata, Testudines, Cheloniidae. The record is from RefSeq and is a predicted model, not a curated record.
UUUGAGGGAGGCAGCUUUCUCCCCCCCUCCUCUCUCUCUCCCCUUUCCUUCUCCUAACAGCUCGGCGCUAAGAAAUGGGUGGUGCCUGCAUGCCAGGCUUCAUCCAAACGAGACGCCAAAGGCCGAGGAGAGGCUGGCACAAAGGGACGCUGGCAGGAAUUCCAGCACUCAGGAGCUGCCUUUCCUUGUGCCCUUGGGACAAUCCCUCUUUAUUACGUAGCUCAGAUUUAAAAACCAAAAAAAAAAAACAAACCACCCGUUCUGGUCUGAAAAGUUACCCAAGCCCAAUCAAAAACAACCCAAAGGACAAAAACUUCCUUUAGAUCAACACAGGUUACACAAAAGGCCAGUUUUUACCUCCCUCCCCCCCCACCGCCCUGACCUCCCCAGCAUGCCAGCCCAACAUCCGCGUGAAAAUAAAUCCUGGUUCCCUCCUUCCUGGUUUUCAGGAGGUGGCGGGGUCCUUUAGCAGGAGUGAGAGCGAGACACACCCAAAGAGAGAGAGAGAGAUCUAUAGCGAAAAACCUUACCGCAGAGGAAGAAUCAGUUUUUGCUGUCUUUAAGUACCUGGGGCUGUGCCGAUAAUAAAAGGGGGUUAAGAAGUGGGGGUAGGGGGCGGGGGGCAGAUGGGGGCUGGUAAUGCAGCUGGGGAGAUGCCAAAAAAAGCAGAACAAAACACGUUUUAGUUUUGUCUGCACCAGCCUGCGACAGUGAGCAAGCGAGCGAGCGAGAUGCACAGUGAAAACGCUGCUGAGCUCGGAAACGGGCCUACAGCCACUUUGGAAGCCUCGGCAAUAAUUCUCUCCCUUCCUCGCAUUCACCCUGCCCACUCUGGCUCGGCUGCCAAGUCGGAGAGUUGGCACGGCUUCCCAGGCAGCGCGGAACAAAGCCGUCACCCAUCCCUGAACAGGCGCUGACGGCAGGCUAAGUGACAGGCGCAUCUUCUGCAUGUUAAUCCAAGGGGUGAGGAGGAGAGAGCAAAAUCCACCGGCUCCCCCGCCACCGGCCACUCCUUUCCAACCCGAGCCCCGGUGGGCCCCGUGCACCGUCCGCAAGGCAGGAGCCCUGGAGAAACAGAGCUGGCCCGGCAAGUCAAACAAACAAGCAAGCAAGCGCAGGAUUUAAAUACAAACCACCGCCCGACCCAGCAGCACCCUGGCAAACAAGGCCGCUCGGCAUCUGCUGUACCUGUUCCCGCUGCCUUCAUCUCGCCUUGGAACCGUGACAAGAGAGAAGCGUCGCCUCUGGUGGGCUCUCGCAGCCUCGGGUCUGCAACCCUGUGCAGGAAGUUGGCACCGAUCCCAGCGCCUGCAUUAUUCCAGUCCACAAGCGGGAAGGAGUUUACAGUACAGACUCUCUCUUGAGGCUGCCAGCAGGAAAGAGAGGGAGUUCUCACAAUCGAACAGCGAGAAGAGCAAGGAGAAAUUAACAUCCAAUUAGCGCCGUGUUUAACGAGGGAGACAGAGACAGCCGUUGUUUUAUUGCCCUGUUCUUUUCAUUCGGAUCUGACAGGCAGCGCGGCAGGCACCCCCGGCUGCAGUGACGUCAUUUUCCCCCCCUUUUUCCUCCAACAAGUUUCCCAGAGGUGGAUCGUCAACUCAGCUGGGGAAAUUCGUUACUUUCUUGCAUUAAAAAUUAUUCUCCCUCCUCCCCACCCCAAAAAAACGAACAAAAAAACCCAUCUCCCUUCGUUCUUGUAAAAGCCAAUCCAGGAGACUAUUUCUCUGCGUGUCUGUCUCGCUCGCUUGUUUUCCUGCUCUGAGACAGCUCUCUCAGCUUGUAAAAGUUUGAGCCAUGUGACACUCCACCCAGCCUCCUUUGGCAGCGUGACAAGAACCGCUUUGGUGUAUCAAAGAGAACAGGCAGCUUUUAAGGAAGAAACUCGAUUCAGAAAGAUUAAAGAAUUAUGAUGUUUUAAUCAAGGGAGAGAGAGAGGUUGGGGAGGGAAAACUGCUCAUUGCAUCUGGAUCAACAGGAGCGGCCUUCACAAAAGGCUGUGGCAGCAGAAUAGACAGCAGGAGUGUUUGAGGAGGUGGUGGUGGUGGGGGGGGUUUGAAGCAGAAGUGGGAGAGACUUAUUUAACAGUUCCAAGCUCAUCAUUUUCCCCUCCUCCCGCCCCCCCUCC